RNAcentral lists this ribosomal RNA (188 nucleotides) under Chaetomium globosum. Its description in RNAcentral is "partial small subunit rRNA". It matches the Rfam family "Eukaryotic small subunit ribosomal RNA", at positions 1646 to 1831 of the family's 1831-position model. The record is from RNAcentral. Lineage: Eukaryota; Fungi; Ascomycota; Sordariomycetes; Sordariales; Chaetomiaceae.
UACGUCCCUGCCCUUUGUACACACCGCCCGUCGCUACUACCGAUUGAAUGGCUCAGUGAGGCUUCCGGACUGGCCCAGAGAGGUCGGCAACGACCACUCAGGGCCGGAAAGCUAUCCAAACUCGGUCAUUUAGAGGAAGUAAAAGUCGUAACAAGGUCUCCGUUGGUGAACCAGCGGAGGGAUCAUUA